GAUGAACGCUGGCGGCGUGCCUAAUACAUGCAAGUCGAGCGAACAGACGAGGAGCUUGCUCCUCUGACGUUAGCGGCGGACGGGUGAGUAACACGUGGAUAACCUACCUAUAAGACUGGGAUAACUUCGGGAAACCGGAGCUAAUACCGGAUAAUAUAUUGAACCGCAUGGUUCAAUAGUGAAAGACGGUUUUGCUGUCACUUAUAGAUGGAUCCGCGCCGCAUUAGCUAGUUGGUAAGGUAACGGCUUACCAAGGCGACGAUGCGUAGCCGACCUGAGAGGGUGAUCGGCCACACUGGAACUGAGACACGGUCCAGACUCCUACGGGAGGCAGCAGUAGGGAACCUUCCGCAAUGGGCGAAAGCCUGACGGAGCAACGCCGCGUGAGUGAUGAAGGUCUUCGGAUCGUAAAACUCUGUUAUUAGGGAAGAACAAAUGUGUAAGUAACUAUGCCCGUCUUGACGGUACCUAAUCAGAAAGCCACGGCUAACUACGUG
This 497-nucleotide ribosomal RNA is filed under the name uncultured bacterium. Its description in RNAcentral is "partial 16S ribosomal RNA". It matches the Rfam family "Bacterial small subunit ribosomal RNA", at positions 28 to 507 of the family's 1533-position model. The record is from RNAcentral.